Molecule: non-coding RNA, 30 nt
Filed under: Rattus norvegicus (Norway rat)
Lineage: Eukaryota; Metazoa; Chordata; Mammalia; Rodentia; Muridae
Source: RNAcentral
UGGUAGUUCGUUGGUUGGAUGUCUACUUUU